CAACCCUUAAGCCUAGCUUAGUGUUGGGAGUCUACAUGAAGGCUUUUGCCCUACUGUAGUUCCUGAAAAUCAACGGCGGAUCUAUAAUAGUCCUCUGAGCGUAGUAAUUUUUUAUCUCGCUUUUGUUAGGUGUUAUAGCCCUUGCCGCUAAACCCCCCAAUUUUUAAU
RNAcentral lists this unclassified non-coding RNA (168 nucleotides) under uncultured Xylariales. RNAcentral's name for it is "sequence contains ITS2". The record is from RNAcentral. Lineage: Eukaryota; Fungi; Ascomycota; Sordariomycetes; Xylariales.